CUCUGGAAAGCUCCAGGGGAAAUUUGAGGCAUAACCCAGCUUCUCUGAGACGGAACUCAGGGAGGAUCCAGCUCAAUCCUACAGAGGCGACCCCAAGGAAGGACCUGCCCAGGGUCACUUGGAGAGCUGGGCGGGAGGAGGGAGAAACCUCCCAGGUCCAGAGUGACAAAGCCCCCCUUGCCCCAGGGAUGGCUGAGAUCCAAAACCUCAAAAACACGCCGCCGUCUGGAGGGUGUGAGAGCCAGGUCCGUCCUCAGCAUGGACGCUGCAGUGCACACUGUUCCGUGCCAGGUGCUGGCUGACCCUGCCCUGGGGGAGCUGAUGGACAGGCACAGAGGGGGAGCCCCGCAAACAAGGGGCCCUGUUACAGCAGAGUGGGAGAGCGCCUGAUAGGUCGCCAAGCACCGUGGCCGGGCUGCAGAGAGGCCUGCGGGGCUUGUAGACAAGACGUCAUGGAGAAGGCGGAGCUCCCAUGGGCCUUGCAGGUUUCACUAAGCAAGGGCGGAGAAGACACAGGCUGGACAAAGGAAGGUGGACGGGACAGCCAGCCGUGCAGCAGCCUCACGGGACACAGCUACCAGACAGAGAGCACCAGCUGACACUCAUUCCUCCAGCACCAGGAAAUGCCACAGCAGAAGAGGGUCUUCAAGAUGGGCCAGCCCCACUUCUGCAGCAUGGUUGCUGGGAGCCUGCACAGGCCAGGUGUUUCUCUACAGGUCCAAUUGCUCUUCAGAACUCAAAAUCCCAUCUCUGCAGGUCUCAGCCAAUCCUGCUCCUGCCUGUUUUUAUUUCCUGCCCAGAGCAAGUACAGAACCGGGGGCCAUCGAUGGGCGAGAAAUCACUGUGCCUCCAAGCCGUAUUUUUCACCGUAACAAGUCAUUACUUCUGUGCCCGGAGUCAUUUCUCAGGAUCUUAAUGCAUUCGUUUAUCAAUCAAUACUUAAUUGAUGUCUAUAAAGCAUGUUCAAAAUCAGAGGUGAGAGCAGCUCACCAGGUACCGACUUCGUGUCUGGAGCCACCUUGUUAAGGAGCAACCCUUGGCACGGGUGCCGUGUCUGCACCCUCGGGAGCUCUGGGUGGGUGCACUGGGGUCCUCACAGCCCUUCCCGCCACUGC
This 1115-nucleotide long non-coding RNA is filed under the name Pan troglodytes (chimpanzee). RNAcentral's name for it is "lincRNA". The record is from RNAcentral. Lineage: Eukaryota; Metazoa; Chordata; Mammalia; Primates; Hominidae.